UGGGGAAUUUUGGACAAUGGGCGCAAGCCUGAUCCAGCCAUGCCGCGUGCGGGAAGAAGGCCUUCGGGUUGUAAACCGCUUUUGUCAGGGAAGAAAUCUUCUGAGUUAAUACCUCGGGAGGAUGACGGUACCUGAAGAAUAAGCACCGGCUAACUACGUGCCAGCAGCCGCGGUAAUACGUAGGGUGCAAGCGUUAAUCGGAAUUACUGGGCGUAAAGCGUGCGCAGGCGGUUUUGUAAGACAGAGGUGAAAUCCCCGGGCUCAACCUGGGAACUGCCUUUGUGACUGCAAGGCUUGAGUGCGGCAGAGGGGGAUGGAAUUCCGCGUGUAGCAGUGAAAUGCGUAGAUAUGCGGAGGAACACCGAUGGCGAAGGCAAUCCCCUGGGGCCUGCACUGACGCUCAUGCACGAAAGCGUGGGGAGCAAACAGGAUUAGAUACCCUGGUAGUCCACGCCCUAAACGAUGUCAACUGGUUGUUGGGAAGGUUCCUUCUCAGUAACGUAGCUAACGCGUGAAGUUGACCGCCUGGGGAGUACGGCCGCAAGGUUGAAACUCAAGUG
RNAcentral lists this ribosomal RNA (560 nucleotides) under uncultured bacterium. RNAcentral describes it as "partial 16S ribosomal RNA". It matches the Rfam family "Bacterial small subunit ribosomal RNA", at positions 355 to 907 of the family's 1533-position model. The record is from RNAcentral.